This 279-nucleotide ribosomal RNA is filed under the name uncultured bacterium. Its description in RNAcentral is "partial 16S ribosomal RNA". It matches the Rfam family "Bacterial small subunit ribosomal RNA", at positions 506 to 784 of the family's 1533-position model. The record is from RNAcentral.
UGCCAGCAGCCGCGGUAACACGGGGGGCGCAAGCGUUGUUCGGAAUUACUGGGCGUAAAGCGCACGUAGGCGGAUUAGUAAGUUAGGGGUGAAAUCCCGGGGCUCAACCCCGGAACUGCCUCUAAUACUGCUAGUCUUGAGUUCGAGAGAGGUGAGUGGAAUUCCGAGUGUAGAGGUGAAAUUCGUAGAUAUCAGGAGGAACACCGAUGGCGAAGGCAUCUCUCUGGGCCGAUAUUGACGCUGAGGCGCGAAGGCGUGGGUAGCGAACGGGAUUAGAUA